AGUCACAAGACGGCGAAGAGGAGAGCGUGGUGCUCAUCUCCGGCUGGUAUUUCAACAUUCAAGAAGUGAAUUCGCCAAUUUAUUGCUCUUUUCCUUUGCCAAGUCUUUGUAGCAGAUAGUAGGCAUUGAAUUUUUGCCUCGAAAUGUAGCGAUAAACUUCAAAUUCCAUCGGUCAUUCAAUUCCGAGUUGGACAUUGCGGAGUUUGGUUUCACAUCUCGGACACAACUGAGAGAAACCAGUUGAAGGGAACCGAACCACUGAUUGUACCUGCCUCCAGGUAAGAGGUGUACUAUUUCCGACGCCUUCUUAAUAUAUUCAAGCUAUUUUUGCUUGUAUUAAGCAUUGAGCCGCGUGUAUUUUGCGUUUGUUUGUUGUUUCGUAUUGCGUUGAGAUCAGUUUCUUCGGACCGAACCCGUUAGCUCGUCCACAACACAAACACAGUGCUUGGUGUACUUUUUUUAUCACUUGUAGAGGAGAUAGAAGGACUGGUGUAUCCUGUAAUUUUGGAUUCUUCUUUGUUCAUUGAGCGAAUUGCACUGAACUGUUAUUUGACACCCGAUAUAUUAAUUUUAUCAAUUAGUUACGUCGGGUAAACAGGGGACGCCCACAUGGACCGCUUUGGAUCUAGGAAAAUCUUUGGCAAAGUUUUUUUGUCGGAACAUUACAGAAUAUUGCGGGCCCUGCUGAUUGACAAAUCAACUUAAGUGAAUUUUUAACCUGAGCUGAAUUCCUCAUGUAAAUAUAUCAAAUUUACUUUUAACUCUAGUUUAUUAUAAUAAACAAGUCUCCAUUUAUCCUUUAGUUAUAUAUCCUUAUUAAAAAAAACAUUAAAGUUUCUACAAUGACAAAUAACAUGAAAAAUAAAAAGUAUAAUCUUCAAGCCAGUAAAAAGAUAACUGUAAGUAUAUGUUCAAGGCUUAUUAUUAUAACUACAUGCUCUAAGUAACUGCCUACUGUAGCUUGUUUGCCGUGUAGUCCUCCCACGCACUAAAAAACUUCCAUUGUACUUUGUGGUACUUUUUUCUUUGGAGCUGCUUGAGUUCGCUUUGCACUUACAAGAUGGAUUUGUAGUUGACAGAGCUCUGCUUCUUUGUCGAGGUGCUUGAAGAGUACAUAGAAUGGUGAAUGGUAUCAUCCAUUAGCACAAUUAUCAAGGCAUUAUGGUAGCCCUCCAGGUCAUUGUUGGUCCUGAGUCAUUUUUAUUCUAGUGUGACCUUAAGUUAAUUUUGUACUUGGGGCAACCAAACAGUUCCAUGUUCACAAAGGGGAUACCGAGCCCCGUUAGGAGUUUGCGUUCGCAGUUACCACCCUUGUAGGCCACGAUCCCUCCUUGACCAUAGAUGUCGUACCAACCCUUGACGACACGCCCAAGCUUUACAUGGGGGAUGCUCGAUCCUGGUGCAAGAUCAAAAUUCAUUCCUGUGACAAACUGGGUGACAAAGCGUGCUGACUUCCUAUCUUUGGAGGAGAGCUCACUGUAUCUCAUUGGGAAGGUGAAAUGCCUUAAUGCUUUAUUCUAGUGUGACCUUAAGUUAAUUAAAAGUUGCAUUUUUUGUGACAACUGCAAAAUCAGAUGCACUUAUUCUUUAUCAUUUUUAGUCAUUAUGUCCUUUUUAUUUGCAAAGUUACAAUCUCUGAAAAUAUUAUACAGCAUUUUUCUCUGCUGUGAUUUUCUCAUGCAGGAUUCUCAUCCAGGAUUCAGGUUUUCUUGCCAAAGUGAUUCUUUUCAUGGGCACAUGUGUUUUCCAUAAUAUGACCCCAGCCUGAUAGUCAAUCAAUCAAGUUUAUUUAUUUUUUAGUUUUUCCUGAGCCUUCAAAUUCUUAUUUUGUGCAAAUAGUAUCUUUUUAAAGCUUUACUGUGGCUUGUCCGUGUAUACUUAGGGUUUUCUUGUUUUCCCUUUUCUGCAUACAGUAGAGUGCAUUUAUUCUGAUUAAACGUGUUUUUUUCCAUUUGGAAAUUGCGACACAGAGUAGGAAAGUGAUAAAAAUAGUUGUCUUAAUCUUGUAUUUAUCUAAUAGCUGAGAUGUCGGCAUUGAGAUGUUAUUUUCAUAGACUCGAAUUAAAUAGGAUGAAGAUGGCUAUAGAGGAUUGAUGCUUGCAAUGUAAGAAGCUCAGUAAAAUGCUGCCAUCUUGAUAGACUCAUCAGCACAAUCUCUAACACAAUGCUUGAAUGAUUUUGGACCAAAAAAUUCUUGGCCUACAUCAGUUUCUCAGCUGGGAAGAAAUCAUCAAACAGCUUUCAAAGGCUUGUUAUGGCAUCCUCCCCGUUUUGCCCAGAAUAAAUAAUUUUUGCUGAUUUUAAACUGAGGAAGCACAACAAAAAUGUUCCUCACUAGCCUACAAUCUGUAUAAAAAAGAUGAAAAAUAAUAUUCAAAUCAAACUUGAUGUGAUUUCUCAGGCAUGUAACCUUUAGCACUAGGCAGCACUUGGCCGACAAUCUGUCUCUACCACCACGUUUAGCUUCUUGGGAGAACAUACAUGAUCACAUGCCUAAUUAACUCCCAUUCUGAAUGCUGUUGUUGCUAGCUCCAUCUAGGUUAAUUUUCUUUUAAAUCCCUAAACACUUUCUCCUUGCAACUGUCCGUCGUGAGGGAGUAAUAGAUCCCAAUGUUUGUGGAGUAGCAGGCUCUUUUUUUUGAUUUCCUUUACAAGCCACAUCAGCUUUUCGAUCAAGUCCUUUUUCUUCAUCUUGCAGACAUCAAACUUCAGAUUCACUCGAUUUGGACUUAAAAAAAGGACCUCAGCAAUUUUUUUUGGAGGGCGAUUGCAUCUGCUGUACCAGUGAUUGCAAGUAUGGUAAUUUGUGAAAGUAGAGCAAGGCAACAUUAUUCUAUACAAUUUAGUUUUAGCAAUGUAUCACUUUAAAACUCUAGUUCAUUGACAGCACAGUUCUGUUCCUUCUGUUUUACACAACAGAAUGUUGGGGGUAUGAUUUUUUGCAAACGUUAUGUCAGCUAACCUUCCAUAUGCUUUCCUAUGCAGCGAUCUGUAAAAUAAAACUAUUCACUCAGGCUAUACUAUAAACCCAUAGACCAGGGUUGUGGGGUUAAAACGUUAAAUCUUACAGCAAGGAAUUUGUAGCUGGGGGGCUCCUCUGCUUGUGGAUGUGUUUGCAUUUUAGUUCACCACAAUUGCUUGGACAACACUUAUCAAUCAAUAUAUGAAAUAGUAGGAAAAUUGCAGCAAAUGAGUUUGAACCUUGGUCUGUGUUAGUAGGAUAUUUUCCCUAUAGUUGGCCAACUAAGUGUUAAAGUCAGGCAACAUAAAAUGUUUAUGAGUAUUUGGGUGUUGCUAUCAGAUGCCUUAGAGGCAGAUAACAAUCUGCAGGAGCCAUGAGCACAAUUAAAUUACAUUAUAUAUGUUAAUAUAUGAUAUUUAUACUUUUGAAGCUUAAUAGAUCUAUAUUAGAAAAAUUAACUUAACCCUUUCACUACUGAAGCCCAAUGUGUGUCACAUCCUGCUGUUCCUGGAGCCUAAUUAGCAUUCCCCACUAAUUUACACACCAAAACAAAACAUGCAUGCUCAGUAGGUUUUGGAGGCAGAUUGUAAAGAAUAAAGCACAGAAACAAGUAGUGCAGAUAAUGAAGUUUUUAAUGAACCGAAAUAUUUGCGUUUUUGCCACUAUUGCUUAGAGCUAUAAUGAUUUGAAUUUACAAUUUCAUACAAAAAUUCAAAUUUCGCGCCAUCUAAUCUACCAAUGAUCUCAAAUUUUGCAUCAUUUACAAAAUUAUUGUUUAUCUUAGACACAAAAUAUAAAUAGAACAUAUAGUAAAGGUAGUUGUAAGCAUAUAGUCAUAAGAAAUAGUGUAAACAUAAAGUCUGUACUAUGAUAGUUUAUGCCUUGCCAUGGUCCAUUUCUUGGAAUGCCUGGUGGCAACCUUUACGGCAGAGACCGACUUUGCAGACCGCACACUCAUAGUACGUCUCGAUCUUGUAGCCUUUCGGGGUCGUUUUUCCCUUUUUGCUGCAAAGAACACAUGCCCUCUUCCUUCCUUCUACAUGAGUGGCGACAUGAGCUGAGGCUGGGAUGUUCUGGGGAGUUGGGGGAGCAGGGACUCGUGGGCGCUCUCUCGAGUUGAACUUAGCAAUAAGUGAUUGCACUAGUUCUGUCUUGAAAACGAUAACAGUCCUCUUCGCCUUUCCUUGUAAUUGGCGCUUAAAUCCUUCAAGGACGAAUGCGUUGGUCACUGCCAGAUUGAACAAAAACCAAAACAUGUAUUUAUACCAUUUACGCGAUUGCCAGCCCGAGGAAUAAAACGAUCAGAGCUGGGCCGGGCGGUCAACUCCUCCCAUGUGCGCCGUGUCUCCUUCGGCUUUUCGAUGUCCAUUUCUUCGCGGCUGCGAUACUUCUCACUGUGCGACCCGGCUCAAGAGGGGAAACAUUUGUCGAAAGAAGACUGACAUCCCUCUUGUCGUGCCAUUUUGUGAAGAGGAGCUGGCCUCGCUGACGCUGAAGCAUUUCACCGGGCUUCAACUUCUCUUUGGCACAUGGCGGCAAUUCCCUGCGAUUCACGCGCAGAGUCCCGCAUGCAUAGGUUUUUUGAUCCAGCAAGUAGUCAAAAAGCCGAACAGUUGUAAAAAAGGUAUCACAGAAGAUGUGUCUGUAACUGUUAAGGAAAGGCUUAGCCAUAUCCAUAACCACAUCGUAGCAGAGUCCAUGGACACGCUGUCUGUUUUCUUGCCCAAGGUAAACUUUGUAGUUGCACACGUAGCCGUUGUUCGCGUCGGCCGCCAUCCACACUUUUAUGCCGUAUUUCGUCGGCUUUGCAGGCAUAUAUUGGCGAAAGCCAAGUCUUCCCUUGAAGGCAAUCAAUCCCUCAUCGACUGAUAUGUCCUUUGAGGGCUCGUAAGUUUGCUGGAUACUUUUUAAGACAUCGCUCAGUACCGGGCGAACUUUAAAGAGACGGUCGUAAUCGGCGUCCCCACGUUGUGGCUCGUUGUUCGAAUCGCUGAAGUGCAGGAAUUGGGCGAUCUCUUCAAACCUUGUCUUGGGAAUCACGUCCUGAAUCCCAAGGUUUCCAAAUAGGGGGUUUUGAGACCAAUAAAGGGCUUGCUGUGGCAAGGAAUUAAUCCCCAUCACGAGCGCUACCCCAAGGAACAUGCGGAGUUCGUCGGGAGUGACGUCCUUCCACUUCGCCAGCCGUGCCUCUCUAUCGGCCUUCUGCCCGAUAAUAAAUUGUGCAUAUCGGUUAGUUUCGUCAGAAAUUAAACCAAUAAGUUCAUCCGAAAACAUCAAGCUAAAAUAGUCUUCAGCUUUUGCAUCUUCUGAUACCGUUUUCUUCAACCGUUGUUGCCCGGUGAAGUCCUCGAGGUCGAAAUGCGUGAGUUGCUCCGACCAAUUUUUAACACUAUCUUCAUCGCUCUCGUCGAAUUGUUUACAUCAUCAUUCUCGUCAGGAUUAACACCAAAAAUCGCUCUAAAUUCGCUCGCAUCGAUCGCUAAAGAUUCCGCCAUGUUGGCAGUACAGGGGUGACUGAUAAGUUUUCGGUCGGCGCUCACGCACCUUAUACAAUGAAAAAUUAUGCGCGGUUGGUUGGAUUUGAUUGGCUAAUGUCGUAAGAACAAUAGUCCACGUGUUUUCCUGCAGCAUGAAUUCCCUAGGGAGCAGUUGGACGAUUGUUUUGAGUUGUAUGCAAAUUGGCCGCUUUUUGUCGCUCCAGGUAAAACGUCACAUUUCCGUUUGGCCGCUUUUGGCCGUUUUAAUAGUGAAAGGGUCAAAUAGAAAUAAUGAUGAAAUGAUAAUGUGAAGAAUAAUAAAUUUAUUUUGAAAACUCAAAAAUAGUGCAUCCUUGAAUAUAAAAAGAUUUCUGAGUAGCCUUGUUCCAGGUGGCAGGUCAUACAAAUGGUUGUUUCUCAUCUAAAUAGGUGGCUCAUAUUGUGUGUAGCCUUGUUUCAGGUGGCAGGUCAUACAAAUGGUUGUUUCUCAUCUAAAUAGGUGGCUCAUAUUGUGUGUAGCCUUGUUCCAGGUGGCAGGUCAUACAAAUGGUUGUUUCUCAUCUAAAUAGGUGGCUCACCUUAUGACCAGUGUUGUGGCAUUGUUACGUUUGCUUGGCUUUCCGCUUUUCAAAUCUUUCUGAGUUUUGGUGUUAUUAUAAACUUGUUUUUUAAGUGAAUAAAGGGUGAAAGAGGUUACAUUUCUACAAUCACGAUACGAAUUUAGCUUUCACUGUUGCACGGUGGAAAACCAAGGUUAGCCUGUAUAACCUUUUCCCUGGCCAGCCACAGACACACAGACAUGUGCCCUUGGGCCAGUUCUUGCAUCAUCUAUAAAUGGGACCUGAUCCAUGAUGUUGUUCAAAUGAUUAUCUCUGCCUGAUAUAAGUUUUGUUUGACUUUUAAACACGGAAACGGACUGGUACAUGUUUAAUUAUAUUUUGAAGUUCUUGAUUAUUAGUAGAUAAAACUGUAAUAGCACUAAGCUAAAGGACUGAGCCAAAUAAGGCAUGUUACUUAUCUCUGUAUCAAGAAGAGUAGGUGUAGUCCUGUUUGUUUGUAGUACAUAUUCUGUUCCUCCCUUUUCUUCGAGUUGGUUAGUUUGUGAGGUCUUUUUCUGGGCGUACUGUAGAUCAUUUUAUGAUAAAAGUUUACACAUUUGACACAUUGUGUAUACAGAGUCUCAUUGUCGAAGCCAGUUCAUCUUGUAUGCUUCUUUGGCAUUAUAUCCAAACAGGACUGUACCCAUUUGCCACAUGCAGAGCCCUUGGUAUCAAGGAAAAUAUUUUUGGUUGAUUCUGAGUCUACAUUAACAUCGCUAUGACCAUUCUAUUUAACAGCAAGAUAAAUGAACAGUUUGUUUGCUAGUAACUCUUUGUGCGUGAGUCUGUCUUUUUUCUUCUCAUACCAUGUGUGUGUUGAAUGCUGGUUUUGGUGCUCAGAGGGCGAAUUUUUGAAUGUAUUGGAAAGAAAGUAUACAAAAGGAAGUCUCCAGGUUUGUAUAGGUGCUGAAUAAACCUGAGCUGACGACUGUGCAUACAUGUUUUACUUGUUUCCAUGAGAGGCAGUUAUUGCUUGUCAUGUAACAAUAUCCACUGAAGUAUUUCCAGCGUCACAGGGUAUCAUUCCUGUGUGUGUGUUUUUUCAUUCAAAACGAACAAGGUAUCCUCCUAUUUAUUUUGUCUGUCUUUGAUCUGAUCUUUAAGUUUGUGGAAAUACUCUGGCAUUAAAGGAUUCUAUGAGGAUUCUCAGCAUUGUGAAUAAAUCAGAUUUACACUUGUUCUCGUCUUACCUUUCUUAAGAGCGUUGUGGUGAGCUGCGUCACCUUGGAUUUCUCUAUUGCCCCCGCUCCCACGCAAACACCUGCUGGACAAAUUUUUCCACCGGAAAUUGUCAUAAACAGGUGCUCAUCACUACAGGAUAGAGCUGGUCUGAUAUUUCUGUAGGAUGCAUUAAAAAAAGGCAACAUAAGCUUUAUCUAUGUAUAUAAUGUGAUUGAGCAGAACACACGAGGUUGAUUAGGAAAGAGGUUUUACCUUAUAUAUUAUAACUUCAACAGUUACCAGUAACUUCUGCGUGACUGUUAUGAAGGUUGCGCCAUGCCCCCAAAGUGCAGUCUUGUGGCGGUAAUUGGCAUUUGCACUACCUUGCUCUCCUCACUCCCCUUCAUCACAUCUUCGACUGUUAAUUCCUGCCCAGUUCCCAUUUUGUAUAUUGAUGUUGAACAUAAGAAAGUCCCUGACUCGUAGGGCCUUCAUCCAUAGAUACAUAUACUCACAUUUUUAUGGGAAAAAAUGAAUUUAUUUUACUUCCUCUUUCACAUCAUUUGAAUGUAUGCAACGUUGCUCUCCAGGGGGCAGGCCUCUGUUCAUCGAGCUAAGGAACGGCUUGUGCUAGUGCCUUGUGGCGUUUCUGUCUUUUAUGUGUGAAUAUUCAACAAAUGGGAUGGGAAGCUACAGACUUAAGACCCAAAAUAUAAUCCUGAUAGGAUCUGUCAUGUACAUGCAAAUGACGCAAUUAAUAAUAAGAUAUAUUAACUCGUCAAGUUUCUACUGUGUGUACUUCAUCCACAACCAGCACUUUCACUUUGUUGCAAGGGCCCGCCCAGUGAUAAAACGAUAACCUUCCUGAAUGAAUCAUCCAGCUGAAUCACUUUGCAAAGGCCCAUGCAGUGAUUUGUGGAUAACUGCCUAAGAUGAAUCAUCCAGCUAUGUGUCUUCAUAAAAUGUGCGCUGUCUAGAGUGAUGUGAAACACAGAGUGCUGCACGGUAAAAGGUCACAUUUUCGAUGAAUCCACCAAAUUGCAUUUGUAAGUUGAAUCACUGUUGUGAAAAUAAGGAAAGUAGCAACGUAUAUGUCAUUUACAGUCGCCGAUGACUGUUUGUCCGUUGUGUCCAAAUUCGUCAGUGUCUUUAUCAAAGGUUCUAUUUUGUCAGUAAUCGAUUCUAGUUUGUGCAAGAUAUCUGUAUUAGUGAUUAGGUCGUAAUUCUCGUUUACACAUUGUGAAUGGAUUUUAAGGCCAGGCGUGGCGCUUUCUGAACUCGCCCAGUUUCGAGUAUUAAGAUUUUUUGGUUGCUUUUGUUGUUGUUCAUUUCAGUGCAUAGAAAAUUUGUUGUUGGUUAUCCUCUAUUUCGUCUCAGUCCAACAUAUUGUCGAUGGAGAGAGGGCCCAAAACACAUCCUAAGAGCAAGCGCUGUGUACCAGAUCUUAGUGUGAUCCAUACUGUCUGCAAAAAUCCACCCGUGACUAAUGAGCGCCUACCGCUGAUGUUGCCAACGUUUCCCAUAUGUCCUGGUAUGUGUAUAUUGGAAUCGUCAAAGAUUUUGAAUUAGGGCUCUCAUGUAUGGCAACUCCACUUUCCUGGCGAACGAGAAGUCGUCUGCUGCUAUAGUAAUGAGCUGCUUGUAAGCCAUUUUUUUUCUUCGAGAACCGUGUGUGACGUCACUGGUUUUUGAGAGUGAACUUGUUGUAGUGUGCGAUGAGUCGCUUACCUAAGAUGUCUUUGCGCGGUUAUGUGGUAUGUUGCGACUAAGAUCUGAAUCAGCCAAAGUUUCCGCAAUAAACAACAUAUAGAACUGAGUUAAGAAAAUACAGUUUUCACACAACUUAAUAGAAUGGCUUGUUCGAAAUUGGCAAGCUAACCUCGCGUACUACUUUGGAUGUGGCCACAAAGUUGUAUACUUUACAUAUAACACUAGUAGUAGUGAGCCCCCCUACUAUAGGACUAGUUGUUGAGUGGACAUGUUGUUUGAGUUGAGGCUUUGUUGAGAUGACGCAUUUACGAAUUGACACUGUGUUGAGUUGAGGCAUUGCUAAGUUGACGCGUUGUUGAGUUGACGCGUUGACGUGUGGAUGAGUUUAAAAGGGGGUACAGCUAUCUGUGAAGGGGUAUUCUGCAGUUGUUCCAACUCCUGAUAAGUCUAUUGGAACAACCCUCAAAUUCAUACCAUAUAGCGCUGAGAUCAGAUACCAAAACGUUGUUGUUGCUCUCAUAGGCACCCGUAUCACUUUCCUUGACUUUUAUUUUAAUGUGUUUUCUAUAAUAAUGACUAGAGAACGCGCUUGAAGUUUUGAAAGGAGUCUUGCAACAUGUUGGACAGAAUCCUUUGUGUUCAUCAAA
Nematostella vectensis (starlet sea anemone) is the source of this 9556-nucleotide long non-coding RNA. RefSeq lists it as uncharacterized. Lineage: Eukaryota; Metazoa; Cnidaria; Anthozoa; Actiniaria; Edwardsiidae. The record is from RefSeq and is a predicted model, not a curated record. The transcript is spliced from 2 exons.